AUGCACGCUGGCGGCGUGCCUAAUACCUGCAAGUCGAGCGAACAGACGAGGAGCUUGCUCCUCUGACGUUAGCGGCGGACGGGUGAGUAACACGUGGAUAACCUACCUAUAAGACUGGGAUAACUUCGAGAAACCGGAGCUAAUACCGGAUAAUAUAUUGAACCGCAUGGUUCAAUAGUGAAAGACGGUUUUGCUGUCACUUAUAGAUGGAUCCGCGCCGCAUUAGCUAGUUGGUAAGGUAACGGCUUACCAAGGCGACGAUGCGUAGCCGACCUGAGAGGGUGAUCGGCCACACUGGAACUGAGACACGGUCCAGACUCCUACGGGAGGCAGCAGUAGGGAAUCUUCCGCAAUGGGCGAAAGCCUGACGGAGCAACGCCGCGUGAGUGAUGAAGGUCUUCGGAUCGUAAAACUCUGUUAUUAGGGAAGAACAAAUGUGUAAGUAACUAUGCACGUCUUGACGGUACCUAAUCAGAAAGCCACGGCUAACUACGUG
This 496-nucleotide ribosomal RNA is filed under the name uncultured bacterium. RNAcentral's name for it is "partial 16S ribosomal RNA". It matches the Rfam family "Bacterial small subunit ribosomal RNA", at positions 29 to 507 of the family's 1533-position model. The record is from RNAcentral.